AUGGGAAUUGGGGAGGGGGGUGACAAUCACGGAGAGAGGAGUGAGGCUGGGGAGAUGACCCAGAGACACAGAACUGUGGUGGGGGCUGCGGGAGAGCAUCCUGAGAAGAGAGAGAGAGAAAAACAGAAAGGACAGAGAAGACCUAAAGUAGAAAAAGAAUCUGGAGCAGUGGGGGAGCAGUGGGGAGCAGGAGAUCGGCCUGGGGAUUCCAGACACGCACGGCGGGAACGGGGGGCUCCACACACACAGCAAACCGGGGAGUCCAGAGACAAAGAGAAUGGGGGGCCCAGAAGCGGAAAAGCCGACCGGGGAGAAGCUGGGAGGGCGGGCCUGAGACAGCGGGACAGAACGGGGCGGAGGGGUCAACCUGAGCCCAACGAGAGGAAGCCUGCCGGCGGCUCACACACACCCAGACGGAAGGGAGGGCCUAAGACAGACAGACAGACGGAAGGCAGCCGCGGGAGGAGGGUCCACGGCGACGCGGGGGGAGGGCGGGGGAGGGUUCACGCACUCGGGGACAGGACGGGGGAAGGCGGCCCCUCCCAGCCCCCUUCCCAGCCGCCUUCGGUGCGGGCCUCCCCGCUCGGGGCGCUGGAGGCGAUCGCGGCCGGGCCGGGGGACCGCUGGGCCCCCGCGCCCGCUCCCCUCCCCCCUCCCGUCCGCCGGCACGCGCCCUCCGCCCCCACCCCUACGCUCCAACGGCCGGCACUCAGCGAGCCGGGCGCGCUCCCUCCCCACGCCCUCCCCCCUCCCUCCCUCCCCCGGCUCGCCGCGCUCCGCCACGCCGGGCCGCCGCGCGUCCCCACACCCAGCCCGGCUCGCGCCGGCGCCCCGCCCCGAGAGCAUUCUUCGCUCCCUUCGCUCCCCGCUCCCUUCCCUCCCCGAGCUCUCCUCACCGAGCUUUUUCCUCCGGCCUCGGCGCCGCCGUUUGUGCCAGCCGCCCAGCGCCGCACAGCGCGCCAUACCCCGCCCCCACCUCCCGCGACGCUCCGCCCCCGCCUCGCCCGGUGGGCACGUGACCGCGCCCGCGGAGGACACCGCGCGUGCGCAGGCGCGAGCCGCGCGGGGCGGAGCAAGGUAGCGCAGGACAACCCCCCCCGCCCCCCGAGAGAGGGGAAAUGGGUCGGUCGCCAACGGGAGGCUCAUUUGCGUGCUGCGCUCCGCCCCUUACGGGCGAGGAGCGGGAAGGCCUGA
This 1194-nucleotide long non-coding RNA is filed under the name Canis lupus familiaris (dog). RNAcentral's name for it is "lncRNA (ENSCAFG00040010057.1)". The record is from RNAcentral. Lineage: Eukaryota; Metazoa; Chordata; Mammalia; Carnivora; Canidae.